Small nucleolar RNA from Laticauda laticaudata (blue-ringed sea krait), 130 nucleotides. The record is from Ensembl. NCBI's taxonomy places the organism in Eukaryota, Metazoa, Chordata, Lepidosauria, Squamata, Elapidae.
AUGCAAACUCGAUCACUGGCUCUGCAUGAUGUAGCAGAAGCAAGGGGAACAGGUUUGCUAAAUUAAACGUGGUCACAGAAGUUUACUAGCCUUAAAUUAGCAAGGCUGCUUACUCUAUACCAUGACAACA